CCCUCCUCCGCGGUCCGAGUUGUAAUUUGCAGAGGAUGCUUCGGGUGCGGUCCCCGUCUAAGUACCCUGGAAUGGGUCGUCAUAGAGGGUGAGAAUCCCGUCUGGGACGGGUGGCCGUGUCCGUGUGAAGCUCCUUCGACGAGUCGAGUUGUUUGGGAAUGCAGCUCUUAAUGGGUGGUAAAUUUCAUCUAAAGCUUAAUAUUGGCCGGAGACCGAUAGCGCACAAGUAGAGUGAUCGAAAGAUGAAAAGCACAUUGUAAAGAGAGUUUAACAGCACGUGAAAUUGUUGAAAGGGAAGCGCUUGCGACCAGACUCGCCCGCGGGGGUUCAGCCGGUACUCGUACCGGUGUACUCCCCCGUGGGCGGGCCAGCGUCGGUUUGGGCGGCCGGUCUAAGGCCUCCGGAAUGUAUCGCCUUUCGGGGCGUCUUAUACCCGGGGGUGCAAUGCGGCCAGCCUGGACCGAGGAACGCGCUUCGGCUCGGACGCUGGCGUAAUGGUCGUAAGCGGCCCGUCUUGAAACACGGACCAAGGAGUCUAACAUCUACGCGAGUGUUCGGGUGUCAAUCCCGUCCGCGCAGUGAAAGCGAACGGAAGUGGGAACCCCGUACCGGGUGCACCAUCGACCGAUCCUGAUGUCUUCGGAUGGAUUUGAGUAAGAGCGUAGGUGUUGGGACCCGAAAGAUGGUGAACUAUGCCUGAAUAGGGCGUUA
This 711-nucleotide ribosomal RNA is filed under the name Paecilomyces maximus. RNAcentral describes it as "partial large subunit ribosomal RNA". It matches the Rfam family "Eukaryotic large subunit ribosomal RNA", at positions 125 to 851 of the family's 3401-position model. The record is from RNAcentral. Lineage: Eukaryota; Fungi; Ascomycota; Eurotiomycetes; Eurotiales; Thermoascaceae.